CUUGGCUGGCUGUAGCAGCAGCAGAGGAGCCUGCAAACUGUUGGUGGUUCUUGGGAGAUGGUUUGAAAACUGCUGACCCUGCAGCCCACGCGGGAAUCCUGUUGUAGGGUAGAGGAAUGCGCUUUUCUGUUACAUCUCAUGGCCGUUUUCUUCACUGUCACUGAACUAUUUAUCUGCUCUUUUAAGGAAACUCACCUCAGUUCCAAUCUGCCAGUAUGGCUGGAAUUGCAGUUCCAAUUGUUAUUGUCAUCGUCGUCGUUGUCGUCAUUGCUCUGUGCUACGUGCACCGGCAAAAACACAAAAAAGCCUUGCAGAAGUACACUCCAGGACCUGCUGGUGACGAAGAGGCUGAUGCAGAAAAAAACACGGUUUACGCCCAAGUCGGUAAUUUGCCACUGCCUUACAGUAGAACAGGGACUCCGAAAGGGGGGCUGGAGACCAAGGAGGACGAGACAAAAACGAUCUAUGCCACGGUCCAGAACCCAAACCAGACAAAGACCACCAAGUCCACAGAUGCUGAUGAAUCUGCAGCCACUCCAAAACCCCAAAGGACGACAGAAUAUGACAAGAUCAUCUAAUAGCUUGUCAAGGCAACACAAACAUGUGGCGAGAAACAAGGGAUAAUUCAGUACCCCAGCAUCAGACACCCAAACAGCAGAGGAUCAAUGCAUAUGAUUUGUACAGCACCUUGCACAAUAGGGUCCCAGUCCCUGACUGGGCUCCCAUCUGCUACUGCAAUUGUAAUGUAGACAGACCCUGGUCCUUGGCGGGCAGGCUGUCAGCACAAACUCUUCCUACACAAGGAGCUGAUUUGUGCAACUGCUCAACAAAGAGGUGUUUUCCCCAGAUAUGCACUAUG
RNAcentral lists this long non-coding RNA (859 nucleotides) under Gopherus agassizii (Agassiz's desert tortoise). RNAcentral's name for it is "lncRNA (ENSGAGG00000008804.1)". Lineage: Eukaryota; Metazoa; Chordata; Testudines; Testudinidae. The record is from RNAcentral.